AAAAAAAAAAAAAAAAAAAACUAGUGCCAGUAAUACGGCAGACCCGAGAGAAUGAUUUUGAUAUUAAGCGAAGAACACUCCAUGAAGCAAACUGAGGUAUUCACACAGUGAGUGGAAAAAAAGAAAAUGACAACUUCACUUAUGUAUGCUGUCAUGAUACCAUUGCAAAGAUCAUGGUGGACUGUAAUAUCGUGCAAUGCUUUGACGACCCGACGCAACAUGCAAAAGAUGAGAUACCCGAUGGUACUUAAAAUUUGUAACACUUAGUGUAUUCCGAGGAAAAUUUGUUAACUUGAUGCAUAUUUUCAUUUUCAAGGGAGGGGCAUUUGUCCUGAUCCACAACUCACUCUACACAGCAGAGAGAUGACAGUUCAAGGUUUAAUGAUUAAAAAAUUGGUAAGUGGAAAAUAGGAUAUGAAACAAAACAAAAAUUUACGACUCGAAGGCCAAAUUAUCCCGGACAGAUCUAACUAUUAGCCCAAUCACCAACUGCAAAUGCAGAAGAAAUAAUUCUUUAGAUAAAAGACAGCAAAGUUGAGGAGAUUGAAACAGGUAGGCAUAACCGACUUAAAAAAAAAAAGGAAGGCACUAAAAUGUUUUAAGCCUCUGCAUUUCGUGACCAGACUUCUCUUUUCUCAUUCUUAGAAUAGUUGCGAGUUUAGGAAAAGAAGUGGACUUUACAACCUCACUUAUAAAGGAAAAAACGGCGGAAAUUAUCACAACAAUGACCUUGGCAUGGGGUGGAAUUCUUCGCUUUCAAAAUCAGCCAGCUCUGGGCCACCGCGUCCACUGGUCGCAACUACUUUGUUUUCAGAGUCUGUAACUUCUUUGCUUACAUCAUUUAUGCAUGCAUCAAGUUCUGCACUUACAUCCGAAGUGUUUGAUACACAGUAUUUCUGCAGCCAUCUAUCUGUUUCCCAGAGAACAUGCAUGAUGCUCUCGCGUGCAGCAUAUCCAUGGCUCUCAAAAGGAAGAACAACCAGGCGACAAAGUGCACCAUGACCUUUCAGAGCAUUAAAGAAACGAUCCGACUGCAUGGUUAGUGUUCCUGAAUUGUUAUCUUGUUCUCCAUGAACAAGUAAUAUGGGCUUUUUAAUUUUGUUGGCUGAAAUGAAAGGGCUCAUCUCAACAUAUGUACUUGUGGCCUCCCAGAGUGUUCUGUCCUCAUUCUGAAAACCAAAAGGUGUGAGUGUUCUGUUGUAAGCCCCAGAGCGUGCAAUUCCGCAACAGAAAAGAUGAGGAGCAUGUGCCAAUAGGUUUGCCGUCAUGAAUGCACCAUAGGAAUGACCUCCAACAGCAAUUUUUCCAGGAUAAACAACUCCACGUCGGAUAACUUCCUCAACAGCUGCCUCUGCACUUGCAACCAGUUGCUCUACGUACCUAUCAUUUGCCUCCUCAUCACCCUCACCAAUAAUAGGAAUCGUUGGGCCAGAUAAAAUGGCAAAUCUCCUAGCAAGCCAAAGAAGAGCUGAUGUUGGGCCUAUGCCUGCAAAUUCAUUAGGAGAACCACGAACUUGUCCUGCAGCAUCUUUGCUUUUAAAUUCUCCAGGGUAAGACCAGAACAGACAUGGAAGAGGGCCAUCUUUUGAUGCAUCAUAGCCAGGUGGCAAGUAUAAUGUUGCAGUAAGCUGAACGCCAUCCUUCCUCAGGUACCUAAUCAUCUCUUUCUGCAAUGAUGCCAACUGUGGGUAUGGAUGAGGAAAAUUUGUAAUCUGACAUGCUUUCUUAUCUGGCCAGCUCUGGAUAUAAUACUGAGUAUUUUCAGUUUUUGACUCCUUUGAAGUCAACAAUUUCAAUUGAUCAAGGUGUAGAUCCCCUUCCUUAAGAUCAGACAUUAGAGUAACAACAGUCUCAAAAUAUUUUUCUUUAUCACUCUGCCAAAUUCGUUCUUUGCUGCUUGUAUUUAUGUCAAACAGAUCAAGGAAAGGGAUAUUCCCUUCAGGUGUUGCACCACUUCCAUUCAGUAAAACAUAAGUGCCUUCAUCAUUUUCCUUCUUUAUCUUUGCAAUCACAUAAGUUCCAGAAGGAGUUCUUCUCAUCAUAGGGGAGCCAGGAUCGGAGUAAACAUCUUCGGAAGACCUAUCAAAUAGUAUUCGUGGACUCACAUCUUUAAAGCCAGGAGAUAUUACCCAGGUUCUUGUUCGCCUUGUCUUGUACCACGAUUCAUAAACUAGAGCUAGAGAAUCAUCACACCAAGAAAUUCCACCAUAGCGAAGAUCGAGUUUGUGUAAGAUUUCUGGCUGUUCACCUUCAAGUGGCUCAGCAGGUUGUGUAUAAAUUAUAUCUCGCGGAGAAACUUCUACUUUUGCAUCACCCUCAUCUUGUGUCUCUGCCCAGUAGAGUGUUGAAGGCUUGUCAGCUCUCCAAUUGAUUGAUCGCAUCCCUUUGCGCACGCUAUUGAAUGCUAUGGGAAUGUCCUCAGCAAGGGGCAAAUCGCAGAGUUCCCUCACAAACUUCCCAUCAGUUGUCCAUAGUUCUACCUUUUUGGGAAACCUACCACAUGGUACAAUAAAAGAGUAUGGCCUGUGAAUAGAACUAAUCAAAAGGUACUUCUGAUCUGGGGAAGGGUCCAUUGAUGUAUACACAGCCGGUGGACCAAUUUCCUUCACUGUCCCAUCCAAAGAUACCAAUACAAGUUGUGAGGUAGCAUAGUAGUCAAAUAAAUCUUCAUCAUACUCAUCUUUCAGCAAAUCCUGGAAGGUUCGAACUUGAACAACAUUUCUUGUCUCAUUAGAUUGAAUCUUUGGACCAGAGGGAACCAAAGGUUUCUUUGGUGGAUCUUCCCGAGAUGAUGGAAUAGUGCAAACUAAUACAGAAGAGUUAUCCAACCAAACAAAAUUAUCAAAGACAGCAUUUAGAUAGACAUCCGGUGACUUAAACAAUGAGUUAGCUUUCCCUGUUUCCACAUCAGCAACCCAUACACUAAGCUUACUACUACUGUUAUCUUCUUCAUCAACUCGGAUGCUGAAGGAUAAAUGCCUACCAUCAGGAGACCAGGUAACAAAAUUGAUCUUAGCACCAUCUGGGAAGCCAUGGACCACCUUCUCUGGCCCCAGAGUACCAUCAGGCAAUAAUUGAUGGAUACCAAUACCAGUGUAAAAUGACAUUCGGCUCCUAGUAUUGCAUUUUCCAUCAAUUCGCAUACCAGCCAGUUUUUCCUCUGGCUUAGCUAGUUCUGUUAAUGGAGGUAAAGAUCUCCUCUUGAGAAAUAGUAUUUUGUCUCUUUGUGGUGAAAACGACAAUGCCGGGACAGGGGGUGCAUCAACAAUAUCUUUAAUCUCCGCUGGAGGAAGUUGAUACUUACCACCCAAUGCUUAUACAUAUUACGAAAUGAAAGGAAUGUCGUCAAAUAAAAGCAACAAUCAACCCGUAACAAUUAAUAAAAACAUAAACAUUUUCAAAGAACAUGAAGUUCAUUUAAAUAGGAAAAAUUAAGUGCAUAAGUGAAUAAUUCAACGUGUAAUCCACAAAACAUAAGUGUUAUACAGAGUUACAGACACAUAUGUACAUGAAUACAAGACUAUCUACCAAGUGAAUAAAGAAUUAUUUUCAUAGUCAUUUUAAAAGCAACCCACUGCUUCUACAAGAUUAACUACAAGAGAAAACACAUUGUCUGGUAAAAUAAAAAUGCAAAGAAAAUUAAAAAAAAAGAAAAAAAAAAGAAAAAACUCUUGAUCCUGCUGACUUCCACAAAAAUUAACAUCCUUUAUUUCUAAUUUCUGGAUGGAAACCAAGAGAUGUAUAUCUGCAAUUAUAAUUGGCAAAAUGACAGUGUACAAGGUUUAUACAUGCUCAUACAGUUGCUGCUUUCAGAGAGAGAAAAUCAGAAAUUUUGUUUGUGUAGAAAUCUGGUUGGAUGGAGUUACCGGGGCUUUGAAGCAUUGAUAAUGAAGUCACGCCUGAGAGAACAAGGAGAGUUUUGCAACCACCAUUUUGCCCAAACAGAAUAUCAGUAUCUAAUCUGUCCCCAACCAUGCAUAUCUGUGACUUGAGAAUCCUGAAUCUGUAAUUGAUCAAAUCCAUGAAAAUGGUAAGAGGGAUCAAUUACCCAAUUAAAUGGAACAACUAUUUUCCAUUGGAUUGUCUUUCUCAAAAUGCUGAAAGUGCUUUAGAUUUCGUCACAUCAGUAUGCAUGGUUUCAUUCGACAUGACAUUAACUGAAUUACUGAGACAUCAAACAUUGUGUUGUUAUAGUCAUAUCACAUUCAAAGGUUAAGUAUGAACUCUAAAGGUUCGACCUUACCAAUGGUAAAAAUAGCCAAUUGACCAUGACCAAGUAAAUAACACAAACAUUUGAUUGAGUCAAAAUUAUAUAUUUUGUGACAGAUUUCAAGACUGGCUAGGUAUAAAAACAGUGUAUAAUGUAUAAACUGCACAUCAGGUCUACUGAAUCUGCUCAAGCUUAAGGUAGUAGAGAAGAUAAAAGAUAAAAUAUAAAAUAUGCAAGCAUUUAAGCAUUUUGAGGUCAUACUUGUUUGCCAAGUAAUCCAUCAUAAAAGUUGAUGGCUUUCCAACAACCAGUGGUUCACGCUGGGUUGAUCCAGCAAUUGCACCAACCAUGGAACCACCACCUGAAAUUUAAGCAUGCAUUAUAGCCAAUUGAGGAAGAAUUUGCAAAGAAAAUGAACAAUCAUAAAAGUGAACUCGAUCAGAAAGAGUCACAGUUCUGCUGAAAAAGAGGAAAGGAGGAGUUUCAUGAUGUAUGUUCUCAAAUUUUCAUGAUUAAUGGUCUAAUGCUGCUUAGGUUUGGUUUCAACUAUAAUCCCAAAAAUGGUAACUUCUUGAUAGUCGACCAAUUUUGGCAAUUGUAAAACCAGUUCAUAUUCUCAAUAUUUCCUCAUCUAAUCAUGUAUAUCACAUUUCAGUCUAUAAUGCAUUGUCAUUUCAUCAUUUCAAAUUCAUUGUUCCCUAGUGCCACUGAUAUGAAACUCCUUAAAGGCAAGGCCCCAUGCGUCCUCUAAUGCCACGAUACUUAUUCACUUGAAAUUGUGACAAAGAAGUUGUGAAAAAUGAUAUAUAAGAACUAUCUCAUUGUGUAGGCAUUAUUCAUCAAAAUGCUUGUACUAGCUCUAUCUCUUCAUUCAAAGAUUCAAAAUAAUCUUCAUAUGAGAAGAAGAAAAGGCUAUGAAACAUGAAAGGCAAUAUAGGCAGGAUGGAUGAGAACCUGCCCAUUCCUGAGCAUCUGUGAGAUGAGUGACAGCAUCACGAUUCGUGGCAAUGAAGAGGCACCCUGGGUUUUCCCUUACACAUAGUGUUCCAUACCUUUCAUGCACACAAACAAGAAUAGAUGAUUGGCUAAAUGAAAACAAAAAUAAACAAGAUACAUAAAUAAAGUACACUCCCAACUAGAAAAGGCAAACACUCAAAUUUUUGUGUAUUUUCUGCAUGAUCUUUGUGUAUUUUCUGCAUUAUCUUUGUGUAUUUAUUAACAUGCAUGCACAAUAACAGAUUGUUCAACUUACUGUACUUUGUAGUAGUUGAAAUAACGAUCAAAUCCAACCACAACUGCUCCAACCUAAAUAGCAACGAAGACAUUUCUUUAGUAUGCCCAAAUUUAGGGAAAAACAAACUACACUUGCUCAUUCAAUUUCUAGUUCCUGAAAAGAAGAAUGCAAAAGCCAAGACAGUCCUUUCCAAGUUUUGGAAAAGGCCCUAAAAAAAAUCCAACCAGAAAAGCUGUAAAGAAAAGCAAGAAAGCAAAAGAAGUUUUACAUCCUUAUCAUGCUCCAUUAGAAACCCAGGCUUCAGUUCUAUCUUUUUCCCACCAUCUUCCUGCAUAAAUGUAAAACACAUUACGAAAAAAAAAAAAAAAA
Molecule: unclassified non-coding RNA, 5813 nt
Filed under: Hevea brasiliensis (rubber tree)
Lineage: Eukaryota; Viridiplantae; Streptophyta; Magnoliopsida; Malpighiales; Euphorbiaceae
Source: RNAcentral